UACGUAGGGUGCGAGCGUUGUCCGGAAUUAUUGGGCGUAAAGGGCUCGUAGGCGGUCUGUCGCGUCGGGAGUGAAAACUCAGGGCUUAACCCUGAGCCUGCUUCCGAUACGGGCAGACUAGAGGUAUGCAGGGGAGAACGGAAUUCCAGGUGUAGCGGUGGAAUGCGCAGAUAUCAGGAGGAACACCGGUGGCGAAGGCGGUUCUCUGGGCAUUACCUGACGCUGAGGAGCGAAAGUGUGGGGAGCGAACAGG
RNAcentral lists this ribosomal RNA (253 nucleotides) under uncultured bacterium. RNAcentral describes it as "partial 16S ribosomal RNA". It matches the Rfam family "Bacterial small subunit ribosomal RNA", at positions 524 to 776 of the family's 1533-position model. The record is from RNAcentral.